This 1989-nucleotide long non-coding RNA is filed under the name Mytilus galloprovincialis (Mediterranean mussel). The record is from RNAcentral. Lineage: Eukaryota; Metazoa; Mollusca; Bivalvia; Mytilida; Mytilidae.
AAUUUAUAAAAUUAAAGACAAUCCUACAGUUAUCAGGAUAGUCAUAUAUGUUUAUGUCAGAUAUACAUGUAAACAGUAAGCUUAAUUUGUUAAAAAGCAGGAGCAAAUUGUUGCUUUUUAAAUUAUGAGAGUCAAAUUUUGUUUUUUUGUAAUUUUGAUUGCUACAUACACAAUGUACCUAUAUUUUACAUGAACUUAUGACAUACAAAAGACACAUAUAUUUUAAAGUGGUUAUUGCAUAUAUUUAUUUAAAAAAAUAAAACUUGUAUAUCAAAUCUUAGAUAAUUGUAUUGUUAAUCCACUAUUUAGAUGGGAUCUUUUGGGACGGCAAUACCUUUGUUUCAUAAAUUUGUUGUUUAUUGUCCUUCAUCAUGUUCAUGUCCUUAGAAACAAAAUCUAGACAUGAUAUACACAAUGGCGGAUCCAGAAAUUUUCAUAAGUGGGGGCCCACUGACUGACCUAUGAGGGGGCCUGCUCCAGUCAUGCUUCAAUGAUUCCCUAUAUAAGCAACCAAUUUUUUUCCCAAAAAGCCCCUCCCCCCCUAAAUCCGCCUCUGAUACAUGAUACAAGGAUUUCAAACUUUUAACAUUUAGUACAAAACUGGAAAAAAAAUAGCUUAUUUUGAGAUCUUGUCAUUAGAUUUUUACAGAUACAUCAUUGUACAUUUGUACAUGUACAUGUAUAUGAUCAUGGUGAGCAUAUAAGGUUAGUUUGACUCAAAUAUAUCAAGUAAACUUGUAAAGUAAUAAGUAAAUCACAAUUUACCUUUCUGUUCUAAAUUGUUCAUUUAGAUCAUUUUGUACAUUAACCUGUCCAUUUAAAAAUAGAAUUAAUCAUACAAAAAAGUCUUGUAACUUUGAAAGGUUGAAUAAGUUUUCUAUGUUUUAAUAUGGUAAGAUGUUAAGAGAUCAUUAUAUAUUUUCCACAGGUUCUUAGGAUAAUAAAAUAACUAAUUUGAUAUUAAAUACAAUUUUCCAAAUUCAAUUCAAAGAAUAAUUGAUCACCUGAUAAGCUGUUAUUUCUUUAAACAGAUAAAAGAUACAUCAGCUGACAGACUUACAUGUAGAGGAGCCUUUAAUUAGAGAAAUGGAUCAACUUGAUUUUGAAGUUAACCUACUGCAUUUAUAUGAAAAUUCAGAAGUGAGUACCAGUAUCUCUUAAAGUACAUUUUUUACAUGUUUAUCUUCAUUUAGAUAGAGUACCAUAUAAGAUAAAGUAUGUGGAAUCUUAAAUCCAGUAUAUAUACAUACUAGACAUUAUACAUCAGUACAUACAUGUACAUAAUGCAAAUCAUAAUAAGAAGGCAUAACAAUUGAACUGUUAAACAAUUAUUAGAUGACCCGUGUCACCUUAAUUUAAGAAAAAAAUUAAAACACAGAGAACACACAGACAAAAAUUAAUGAGACCAUGUACUCCAAUAUGCAAGGGUUUUAAUCUCCCACUACAAAUGUAAUAUGAAGUCCUGAAUGUGAAAUCCUCUAAAAAAUUAUAUUAAACUUCAAAUAUGUGUACUUGAAUACAUGUAUAUAUAAUAUUCAAAUUCAUCUUAUUUAAUAUAAUUAAUUUAAAACAUUUUCAAGCAAAAAACUGAUGUAUAAAUGUAUAGCUUAACUGUUCCUUUAUUUUUUUUCAGGUGACUGAGCUAAAAGAAAAACACACAUGAAAAUGUAACCAGUUUGGCACCAUCAAAGUGACCAACAUAACAUUUGAAUACCUUUUAAGUUUUUUAUGUAUAUGUUUGACUUUUGGUAAUAUUUCGGCAGUUUCUUCAGUAAAUGAGACACAUCAAUGUUGAAAAUGACAAUUUUGAUAGAGGACAAUUAUAAGACUACCAACUUUAUUGUUUAUGGAUCUUUAUCUUUUAAAAUACUACUGGAUGUCUAAAAGAAUAUUUCAAUUUCUUCUGAAACUAUUUAGAUAUUUAUUAUGUUUCAUGUGUUUAUAGGCAAAUAUUUAUAUAUGUCAUUUAUGUUAAGCAAGGGUUAAUAU